UACGGGGGGGGUAAGCGUGGUUCGGAAUUACUGGGCGUAAAGGGCUCGUAGGCGGCCAACUAAGUCAGACGUGAAAUCCCUCAGCUUAACUGGGGAACUGCGUCUGAUACUGGAUGGCUUGGAUUCGGGAGAGGAAUGCGGAAUUCCAGGUGUAGCGGUGAAAUGCGUAGAUAUCUGGAGGAACACCGGUGGCGAAGGCGGCAUUCUGGACCGAUAUUGACGCUGAGGAGCGAAAGCCAGGGGAGCAAACGGG
Molecule: ribosomal RNA, 253 nt
Filed under: uncultured bacterium
Lineage: Bacteria
Description: partial 16S ribosomal RNA
Rfam family: Bacterial small subunit ribosomal RNA
Source: RNAcentral